UGACCCUACGGGAGGCAGCAGUGGGGAAUAUUGCGCAAUGGGCGAAAGCCUGACGCAGCGACGCCGCGUGAGGGAUGAAGGUCUUCGGAUCGUAAACCUCUGUCAGGAGGGAAGAAGUGGUUAUAUGCGAAUAGUGUAUGACUUUGACGGUACCUCCAAAGGAAGCACCGGCUAACUCCGUGCCAGCAGCCGCGGUAAUACGGAGGGUGCGAGCGUUAAUCGGAAUUACUGGGCGUAAAGCGCUCGUAGGCGGUAUGUCAAGUCAAGGGCGAAAUCCCCGCGCUCAACGUGGGAACUGCCUUUGA
This 305-nucleotide ribosomal RNA is filed under the name uncultured bacterium. RNAcentral describes it as "bacterial SSU rRNA". It matches the Rfam family "Bacterial small subunit ribosomal RNA", at positions 333 to 630 of the family's 1533-position model. The record is from RNAcentral.